RNAcentral lists this ribosomal RNA (580 nucleotides) under Autillia horridipes. Its description in RNAcentral is "SSU rRNA". It matches the Rfam family "Eukaryotic small subunit ribosomal RNA", at positions 23 to 579 of the family's 1831-position model. The record is from RNAcentral. Lineage: Eukaryota; Metazoa; Arthropoda; Insecta; Coleoptera; Curculionidae.
GUCAUAUGCUUGUCUCAAAGAUUAAGCCAUGCAUGUCUCAGUACAAGCCAAAUUAAGGUGAAACCGCGAAAGGCUCAUUAAAUCAGUUAUGGUUCCUUAGAUCGUACUCACAAUUACUUGGAUAACUGUGGUAAUUCUAGAGCUAAUACAUGCAAACAGAGCUCCGACCGGAGACGGAAGGAGUGCUUUUAUUAGAUCAAAACCAAUCGGUGGCGGGUUCGCGCUCGUUAUCGUACAACUUGGUGACUCUGAAUAACUUUACGCUGAUCGCACGGUCAUUGCACCGGCGACGCAUCUUUCAAAUGUCUGCCUUAUCAACUGUCGAUGGUAGGUUCUGCGCCUACCAUGGUCGUAACGGGUAACGGGGAAUCAGGGUUCGAUUCCGGAGAGGGAGCCUGAGAAACGGCUACCACAUCCAAGGAAGGCAGCAGGCGCGCAAAUUACCCACUCCCGGCACGGGGAGGUAGUGACGAAAAAUAACGAUACGGGACUCAUCCGAGGCCCCGUAAUCGGAAUGAGUACACUCUAAACCCUUUAACGAGGAUCAAUUGGAGGGCAAGUCUGGUGCCAGCAGCCGCGG